AACGGCCGUACCAUGCUGAAUAUACCGGUUCUCGUUAGAUCACCGAAGUUAAGCAUCAUUGGGCGCGGUCAGUACUUGGGUGAGUGACCACCUGGGAACACUGCGUGCCGU
RNAcentral lists this ribosomal RNA (111 nucleotides) under Caerostris darwini. Lineage: Eukaryota; Metazoa; Arthropoda; Arachnida; Araneae; Araneidae. The record is from RNAcentral.